UGGGGAAUAUUGGACAAUGGGCGCAAGCCUGAUCCAGCAAUGCCGCGUGUGUGAAGAAGGCCUGAGGGUUGUAAAGCACUUUCAAUAGAGACGAAAAGCUUAGAGUUAAUACCUCUGAGUCUUGACUUAACCUAUAGAAGAAGCACCGGCUAACUCCGUGCCAGCAGCCGCGGUAAUACGGAGGGUGCAAGCGUUAAUCGGAAUUACUGGGCGUAAAGCGCUCGUAGGCGGUUUGUUAAGUCGGAUGUGAAAGCCCCGGGCUUAACCUGGGAACUGCAUUCGAUACUGGCAGACUAGAGUAUAGUAGAGGCAAGUGGAAUUCCGGGUGUAGCGGUGAAAUGCGUAGAUAUCCGGAGGAACAUCAGUGGCGAAGGCGACUUGCUGGACUAAUACUGACGCUGAGGAGCGAAAGCGUGGGGAGCAAACGGGAUUAGAUACCCCCGUAGUCC
This 449-nucleotide ribosomal RNA is filed under the name uncultured prokaryote. Its description in RNAcentral is "bacterial SSU rRNA". It matches the Rfam family "Bacterial small subunit ribosomal RNA", at positions 355 to 796 of the family's 1533-position model. The record is from RNAcentral.